This 8205-nucleotide long non-coding RNA is filed under the name Lactuca sativa (garden lettuce). RNAcentral's name for it is "long non-coding RNA (LSAT_LNC004511)". Lineage: Eukaryota; Viridiplantae; Streptophyta; Magnoliopsida; Asterales; Asteraceae. The record is from RNAcentral.
CUAUAUACAAGCCUAAGUUCGUUAUUUAACAAGAGGAAGGGACUAGGCAUCAUUUCGGGAGUUUACCGCCCAAGAACACCUUGGGGAGUAAACUCCUAAAUCUAGUUGUUUUGAUAUGUAAUCUAUGUUAUAAACAUAUUAUAAGCUAUAUAACACAACUAGAGAGAGAUACUCACGAUUUGGGAUGAAAACCCGAAGAUCCGUGAGAGAGAAAAUGGCUUUUCUCUAGUUGUAAAUGUAAAUAAUGAAUGAAAUUGGUUCAGAAUUCUAUUUAUAGUCCUGAGAUUUUUGGCAGAAAAUAUUUUAUUCCCAAAAUGAUCUCUAAUAUAAUAGAGUGUUGGAAUAACAGUGUUGCACAAAACCCUAGUGCAUCCACUCUCCUGAUAUCUCCUGAAGUGUAAACCCUGAAUUACUCAAACUUAUACGGAAAAGUCUAAAAAUUUACUGUGACUGUUAUAACUUCUAUUGAAGUGAUAUUGUUUGUACAUAAUAGAAUUUCGGGUUGUCAAAUCAUCCCACCAUUAGAAGGAAUUUCGUCCUAAAAUUAGAAUUUAAGCAAAUAAGAAGUUACACAUAACUAAGCGAAAAGAUGAGGGUAUUUCAGUUUCAUCUGAUCCUCUCGUUCCCAAGUGAAUUCUGGUCCACGCUUUGCGUUCCAGCGAACCUUCACUAUUGGGAUACGGCUCUGCUUUGUUUGCUUGACCUCUCGGUCCAUGAUCUCUACUGGUUCCUCCACGAAGUUGAGGCUCUCGUUGAUCUCGAUCUCGUCGAGUGGAAUAACAAGAGUCUCGUCGGACAGACACUUUUUCAAGUUCGAGACGUGGAAGGUAGGAUGUACGUUACUGAGUUCGUGCGGUAGAUUGAGUUUGUAAGCUACAGGGCCGAUUCUCGCGAGAAUCUCGAAAGGCCCUAUGUAUCUUGGAUUGAGCUUCCCACGCUUUCCAAAGCGUAUCAAGCCCUUCCAGGGUGAGACCUUCAGUAGGACUCGGUCGCCCACCUGGAACUCCAAUGGUUUCCUACGCUUGUCGGCGUAGCUUUUCUGUCGGUCUCUAGAGGCUUUUAAUCGUUCACGAAUUUGAACGAUCUUCUCUGUCGUUUCCCGAAUGAUCUCCGGACCCGUGAGAGUGCUUUCGGGAACUCGUCCCUUAGCUAACUGGGUAUCACCCACUUCAGCCCAGCACAGAGGGGAUCUGCACUUUCGGCCAUAGAGGGCCUCGAAUGGAGCUGCCUUUAUGCUCGUAUGAUAACUGUUGUUGUAGGAAAAUUCAACAAGGGGUAAAUGAGUAUCCCAAGCUUUUCCAAAGUCAAUCACACAGGCACGCAACAUAUCUUCUAAGGUUUGGAUAGUUCUCUCACUUUGCCCGUCGGUCUGUGGAUGGUAGGCUGUACUCAUGUCCAGCCUAGUUCCUAGGGAACUUUGUAAUGACUGCCAGAACCUCGAAGUGAAUCUACUAUCUCGGUCUGAGAUGAUAGAUAAAGGAACACCGUGCAGCCUUACAAUCUCCCUAAUGUAAGUUCUGGUAAGUUUCUCCAUCUUGUCUGUUUCUUUGAUCGGUAGGAAGUGUGCAGACUUGGUCAGUCUAUCGACGAUGACCCAUAUGGAAUCAAGUCCACCCGUCGUCUUGGGCAACUUGGUUAUGAAGUCCAUAGUGAUCCGCUCCCACUUCCAUUCUGGUAUCUCCGGUUGUUGUAGAAGACCGGAGGGUUUCUGGUAUUCGACCUUGACCUUUGCGCAAGUAAGGCAUUUACUCACGAAGGUAGCAAUAUCUGCUUUCAUGUUAGGCCACCAGUAUAACUUUUUAAGAUCCAGAUACAUCUUAUCUGAACCCGGGUGGAUGGAAUAACGUGUGUUGUGAGCUUCCUUCAUGACCAAGUCUCUGAAGCCAUCGUGUUUCGGUGUCCAGAUCCGAUCCAUGAGGUAUAAAGCUCCACCACCCUUGAAUUCCAAGUUCUUAUCCAUCCCAAUAAAGGAUUCACCAGCCAUGUUUUUAGGUUUCAAAGCGUCGAGAUGAGCCUCCUUAAUUUGCGUGGACAAGUGUGAAUGGAUAAUUAGAGUCAAAGAUUUGACUCUACGACCAGCAUAUUCUUUCCGACUUAGGGCGUCGGCUACUACAUUGGCUUUACCCGGAUGAUAACGAAUUUCGCAUUCGUAAUCACUAAGUAGCUCGACCCACCGUCGUUGUCUCAUGUUGAGCUCUUUCUGGUCGAANGGGUGAUAACGAAUAUCGCACUCGUAAUCACUGAGUAGCUCGACCCACCGUCGUUGUCUCAUGUUGAGCUCCUUCUGGUUGAAAAUGUGUUGUAGAAUCUUGUGGUCUGUAAAGAUCGUGCUUUUUGUACCAUACAGGUAGUGUCUCCAGAUCUUCAGAGCAAACACAACUGCUCCUAGCUCAAGAUCAUGGGUGGUGUAGUUAACCUCAUGUGUCUUCAACUGUCUCGAGGCAUAGGCUAUGACUUUACUUCGCUGCAUCAGAACACAUCCGAGUCCUUGAUUGGAUGCAUCGCAAUAGACAACGAAGUCUUCUAUCCCUUCGGGGAGGGAUAGUAUCGGUGCGGUGCACAAGGCUCGCUUGAACGUUUGGAACGCUCUUUCUUGUUUCUCUUCCCAGUCAAAGGCUACACCCUUCUGGGUCAGUGUUGUAAGAGGUUUCGCUAUACGGGAGAAGUUCUGAAUGAACUUGCGAUAGUAGCCAGCUAGACCUAGAAAUUGACGAAUUUCUGUAGGUGUCUUCGGUGCUGACCAGUUCUCAAUGGCUUUGAUUUUGGAAGGGUCCACGUGUAUUCCUUCUUCGCUAACAACAUGGUCCAAAAAUUCGACUUGUCAGAUCCAAAAUUCGCACUUGGAGAACUUCGCAUAAAGCUUCUCCGACUGUAAUGUUUCUAAGACUCUAUGGAGAUGUUGACUAUGUUCCUCCUUACUUCGAGAGUAGAUGAGUAUGUCAUCGAUGUAGACGAUGACCAACUGAUCCAAGUAAGGACGACACACCCUAUUCAUCAGAUCCAUGAAUACUGCGGGCGCGUUGGUUAAUUCGAACGGCAUCACUACAAACUCGUAGUGUCCAUAACGAGUUCGGAAGGCUAUCUUGGGAACAUCGUCCUCUAACACUCGUAGUUGGCGAUAUCCGGAUCAUAGAUAUAUCUUCGAGAAGUAGUUGGCUCCUUGAAGUUGAUCAAAUAAAUCGUCAAUGUGGGGCAAAGGAUAACGAUUUUUAAUGGUAAGCUUGUUGAGUUCUCUAUAGUCGAUGCACAUGCGAAACGAUCCAUCUUUCUUCUUGACGAACAAGACCGGUGCUCCCCAAGGUGAGAAGCUUGGUCUAAUGAAUCCCUUGUUGAGAAGUUCGUUAAGUUGACUGGAAAUUUCCUGCAUCUCGGCCGGUGCCAGAUGAUAAGGAGAUUUGGCUACGGGGGUAGCUCCUGGCACUAAGUCGAUUCUGAACUCGACUUGGCGUUGUGGUGGUAAACCGGGAAGUUCUUCUGGGAAGAUUUCGGGAAUGUCGCGUACUUCUGGGAUGUUCUGAAUUUCUUUCAUUUCUUGACUUGUAUUGACGACGUGUGCGAGGAAUGCAUGGUAUUCCUUUCGCAAGCACUUCUGGGCUUGAAUGCACGAAAUGAUGCGAAGGCUCGUACUAGGUUUGUCGCCAUAGAUAACUAAGGUUUCGUUGUUAGGAAGGUUAAGACGGACUGCUUUUUCAAAGCACAUGAUGUCGGCGCGAAGAAGACUCAACCAAUCCAUGCCGAUGAUAACGUCGAAACAUUUAAUUGGGACCGACAUGAGGUCUAUCUUGAAAGUAUGUCCAUCUAAAGUUAAAGUACAACCUACGUAUAUGCAGUUAGUACUCUCCGUUUUCCCGUUAGCCAUUUCUACUAUGAAUGGAUUAUCUAAUGCACAAGGUUUUUGUUUAAGCAGGUGAGCAAAUUUGUGACUUAAGAAACUUUUCUCUGCUCCACUGUCGAAAAGUAUGCAAGCAUAUGAGUUAUCGAGGAGAAUCGUACCAGUAACUAUCGUAGGAUCAGCUACCGCUUCCUCGUGGCCUAGGGCCAUAACUCUUCCUACUCCUCCGGCCAUCCCCACUUUAGGGCAGUUCCUCUUGUAGUGGCCCACCUCGCCACAACCAUAGCAAGCUUGGCCCAUACCGACGUUAGGAACCUGGGCGGCCUGAGUUGUUGGAGUCUGGCAGAAACGAACUGUGUGCCCCUUCCUGUUGCAGUUAGUGCACUGCAUCUCCCUGCAAGGUCCGCGGUGGUGGAAGCUGCAUUUGUUGCACUUCGGGAGAGUUCCAGCAUAAGUUUUUGUUGGUAAGGGGUUUGCAGGGACAACGGGAGUCACUGUGGCAGCAUUGAUUGCCACAAGUUGUUGUUUCUUGGAGGAUUCUUGCGAAGCCCCUCUUUUCCUCUUAGUCCACCCCUUCUUGUUGUUGUUGACCUUUUGUGGUACAGGUGCAGGGAUUGUUGGGUUCUGAGGUUUCCGGUGAUCUAUGAGAGAUAGUGCCAGUUCCUUGGCACUAUCAAAAGUUAUAGGACUGGAAGCUAACACACUUGCCUGGAUCUGGGGCGACAGUCCCCAGAUAUCUCUCUCUAUCUUCUUGCUGUCGAGAGCAACCAUAUCAGGGCAUAGGUUUGCCAGAUCACAAAACCUAUUUGUGUAGGUUGUGAUGUCGAAUCCAACCAUUUGUAGACCCCAGAGUUCCUUCUCGAGUUCUUGUACUUCACCUCGAGGAUAGUACUCUUUCAUCAGCAUGUCCUUCAAUUUCUCCCAGCUGAUGGAAUACGCCACCACCAAAGUCAGAUACUUAACAUGGCCAUUCCACCAUGUUAAUGCUCUGUUAGAGAAGUUACAAGCUGCAAACUUGACCUUGUUGCCCUCCUGGCAAGCGCAGAUUUCAAAGACAGAUUCCAUCUUUUCAAUCCAUUACCUUAACACCAUAACCCCACCAGUACCAUUGAAGCUGCGGGGCUUGGUGUUCGUGAAGUCCUUAUAGGUGUAUUCCCGAGGGUGUCCAUGGCNGGCUUUCGCCAUGGUUCGAGGGAUGUGCACCUGUUCUCGAUCCACUAGGGACAGGAGCGUUGAUUGCUGACACAGCAGCUGCAAUUGCUGCUGUGAAAGCUGCUUGGAACAUAUUGGCAUCGAAAGGAGUAGGUGGUUGAAGAGGUUGAGGUGGUGGUAUCGGUGCUUCGUUGUUUGGGUUACGCCUAGGAUUUCUGUGAGGCGGCAUCUUUAACUAUACGUUUAAAAGAUGACGACAUGGAUAAGAAUAAAUGAAUAAUGAAUGUGUCUCAUGGACUAACUCCCCAUAGACCAACAACAAAAUGAAUAGAAUGACUACAUGAAGAUGACAGCAUUUGGAUAAUAAUAUCCAUAUGAUUAGAUAUCUGUCAAUAAUACUGGAAUUACAGAUGUAAUAAGUUCGGGAAAAAUGGCCUAGAAGUAGGCCUUACAUCAACCAAGAUAGGAAAAUUUUUGACAGAACUAAGACUAGAUCAAGACCUAACAUGUCUAAGAUUUAUAAAGAUAGGAAAUUAGACCAAAGUUUUUACAUAAACUAGGUUAUAUCCGAAAGAUGAGUCGUCGAGAGUCUAUCGGCAACGAGAACUGCUAGCAUGAGUUCUUGAUCCUGACAGUAGGCGUUCUAUGUCCCUUAUACGCCUGUCAUCUCUCAUUUGCUGAGCUCGAAGUUCUCUAACUUCAGCUUGAGUUUCAGCAAGUUCUCUAUGCAGAUUUGCAUUGCGGACCAGAGUCCUUUCAUGAGCAGACUCCAGUUGGCGAAUGUGGACAGUGUUAACGCCAGAGUUGGCUUCAAUCUCCACGACUUGGUUGAUAGUUGCUUGACCCAGUAUCGUGUUUCUAGAAAUUCUACGAACCAUGAUGGUAGGACUCUGUCAGCAGAACCUCCUUCAGUGAGGUUGUAGAAACUUCGGUCGCCAUUGUAGGGAAUGGGCUGACCUUGUUCCUGGCUCCACGUAUUCAAGUUCGUGGCCCACAGAGGUGUGGGUCCUUGAAAUGUGGGACGGGGGUUUAGGUUUGGGUCUUGAGCAGCUGGGGGUAGGUUGUUGACUUCAGGCUCCGAGUCAGAACUAUCAGAAAAACCCUCAGCAUGGUGAUCAUCCAAAGGGAUUGGGUGAUCAUCUUCUGGUUCUGCCUCUAGCCAACCAACAUUACCUUGGUUCGGGAGGUACGGAUCGCCAUGGUGAAAUCCAGCCAUUAAAAUCUAUGCGAGAAAAGGGGAUAUAAGAAAUAGCUAAAUAGACGAACUGACUAAGAUAAUUACAAUAAGACCAAAUACCCCUAUGGUAUUUCUUUAUGGUUGUGUUUGUAAGUUUUUAGACUUGUUGCCACAUCACAACCAUUCUUGGGCAUAUGCUAAUCACUCCUUGGACCAACAUAGUUGAUCAGGCUAUGCCAUUCCCAAGACUGACCAUAUAUCCCCAGGCUUACUUGUGAUAUUCAACAAUCGUAAUACUUUUGUUCUUGUCAUUGUGACACUGAUUUUAGUAUGAAUGCAGGCACGUAUACUUACUUAAAUAUUUUAUUAUUUAAAAGUAUAACUCUUAGACAGAGUGUUUUAAUCCCAAUGUAUUUAUAGUUAGUAUAUCUUUUAUGGGUUGAUAUACUAUAUUCACUAUAAACAAUGCUCUGAUACCAAUCUGUCACACCCCAAAACCAAGAACGGCGGAAACGUUCCGGGGUGGAGGACGUCAUGUACAGUAUCACAACAGUGUAAAAUAGUAAACAAGCAACAACAUCAUCCAUUGCAUUAUAAGUAAAGUUUUAAUACAUGUGUGUUCUUUCAUUGUAAUAAGACACCAAAAAUAUACAAUCAAAAUAAAAGACGAGACUUGUUUGUGCUCCGUCUUCUCAAAACCUGGCCAUCGUACCUGUCUACUGGUGACCUGAGAAUACAAGUUAUUUUGAAAGAGAGCAUCAGCUUAAAGCUGGUGAAUUCAUAAGUAUUUAAGUGUCAUUGUCUUGCUUUGAAAAGCUGUUUUGAAUGUCAUNUGAAAAGCUGUUAUGAAUGCCAUGUAAACCUUUAAAUGAAACAGUUGAUAUAAGUAUGAAAAGCCCUAGAAAAUCCCUUGUUUUCUAUCAGUAUGAAAUGUAGUCUUCAAACAAGACCCGAAUGUUUUGUAAGUAAAAUGAUAGUUUUUCCUUUCUAUUGACUAGGACUAAAAGUACUUAGUCUAACUCCUCGUUUAUGUGAAUGUAUCACAAAAUAAAGUAAUAGGAAAAUAUACUAAUGUAAUUGUUAUCCUUUGGUACUAGGACUAACACNCGUAGUAAGCGAAAUGUAUAACCUAAUGAACAUCCGAAGAUUGUCCAAUUAUCCUCUGUAGCAGCAGCAGGGGGAAGGAAAGGUUAGUCCCGUAAUCAAUGUUCCUAGUAUAAGUAUUAACCGUAGACCUCCGUAGAUGGUCAUAAUUCUUGGAAAGGUUUAGGGCACAUAUACACUCCUUUGAGGAGUUUACAGCCCCAAGCCAAAUUCCUUUGGAGUUUACUGCCGUAAACUCACUUGGAAGGGGUGUUUUUAUGCUUUCAAGUCCCAUGCACAUGUAGGAUAGGUUCUAGACAUUUAUCUAAGGCUAAUGAAGGCCUUAGUCACACUUUGGUGCCCUUGAUUGAUGUUCACGGCCCAAGAACCUUAUUAGGGCCGUAAACUCACUUUGGGAAGGGUUUUUGAUGUGUUAAAGUGCUUAAAUUAACUAGGAGUAAACCUAGGUAAUUGUCCAAGACUUUAGGAGUGUUAAAAGCACUCUUUGGUCUAUGUUUUUGGAGUUCACGGUCCAAGAACUUCGUGGGCCGUGAACACCUAAACUUUGGUGUUUCUUUGAUGUUUUCUUGUCUUAAAUACACCUAUAUAUAAGCCUAAGUUCGUUAUUUAAUAAGAGGAAGGGACUAGGCAUCAUUUCGAGAGUUUACCGCCCAAGAACACCUUGGGGAGUAAACUCCUAAAUCUAGUUGUUUUGCUAUGUAAUCUAUGUUAUAAACACAUUAUAAGCUAUAUAACACAACUAGAGAGAGAUACUCACGAUUUAGGAUGAAAACCCGAAGAUCCGUGAGAGAGAAAAUGGCUUUUCUCUAGUUGUAAAUGUAAAUAAUGAAUGAAAUUGGUUCAGAAUUCUAUUUAUAGUCCUGAGAUUUUUGGGAGAAAAUAUUUAAUUCCCGAAAUGAUCUCUAAUAUAAUAGAGUGUUGAAAUAACAAUGUUGCACAA